RNAcentral lists this ribosomal RNA (914 nucleotides) under uncultured eukaryote. RNAcentral's name for it is "eukaryotic LSU rRNA". It matches the Rfam family "Eukaryotic large subunit ribosomal RNA", at positions 23 to 982 of the family's 3401-position model. The record is from RNAcentral.
ACCCGCUGAACUUAAGCAUAUCAAUAAGCGGAGGAAAAGAAACUAACAAGGAUUCCCUCAGUACGGGCGACGGAAGCGGGAAAAGCCCACAUUGGUAAUCUCUGAGCGGCAGCUCAGCGAAUUGUAAUCUGAAGAUGGCUAGUCCACCUGGGCCCCGGCGGCUGAAGUGCGCACGAGCGCGCCGCCAAAGAGGGUGAGAGCCCCCGUCUGGCGCCGGGCCCCUACAAGGGGUUGGCAAUCCAAGAGUCGUGUACUUUGAUACUAGUGCACUAAGCGGGAGAUAAACUUCUUCUAAGGCUAAAUACAAGUAGGAAACCGAUAGCGAACAAGUACUGUGAAGGAAAGAUGAAAAGCACUUUGGAAAGAAAGUUAAAAGACUUGAAAUCGUUGAGGCGGACCCGGUAGAAAUGUAUUCUAGCGAAGCGCUCUGGGAAGCCUGUAUUCGGGCCACUUGAGCGCUAGCCGAGACAAGAUGGAGUCGCGCGAUGCCAGAGGCCGUGUGCGAGGAAGCUUGCUUCAGCGCGCGCUGGCCGGGUGUCGGGCGGCUUGAGGGGCCUUGCGCGAUCUUGUCAAAAUGGUUUUUACCGACUCGUCUUGAAACACGAACCAAGGAGUCUAAGACUAACGCGAGUGUGGUGGUGGAGAAACCAACACGCGAAAUGAAAGUAAAUGAUGCCAAGAAACCUGCAGCAUCGACCGACCACUUUCUUCUGGAAGAGGUUUGAGUAAGAGCGUUAUUCUUAGGACCCGAAAGAUGGUGAACUAUGCCUGUGUAGGGUGAAGUCAGGGGAAACUCUGAUGGAAGCUCGUAGCGAUACUGACGUGCAAAUCGUUCGUCGAACAUGGGUAUAGGGGCGAAAGACUAAUCGAACCAUCUAGUAGCUGGUUCCCUCCGAAGUUUCCCUCAGGAAAGG